This 427-nucleotide ribosomal RNA is filed under the name uncultured bacterium. Its description in RNAcentral is "partial 16S ribosomal RNA". It matches the Rfam family "Bacterial small subunit ribosomal RNA", at positions 355 to 774 of the family's 1533-position model. The record is from RNAcentral.
UAGGGAAUCUUCCGCAAUGGGCGAAAGCCUGACGGAGCAACGCCGCGUGAGUGAAGAAGGUCUUCGGAUCGUAAUACUCUGUUAUUAGGGAAGAACAAAUGUGUAAGUAACUAUGCACGUCUUGACGGUACCUAAUCAGAAAGCCACGGCUAACUACUUGCCAGCAGCCGCGGUAAUACGUAGGUGGCAAGCGUUAUCCGGAAUUAUUGGGCGUAAAGCGCGCGUAGGCGGUUUUUUAAGUCUGAUGUGAAAGCCCACGGCUCAACCGUGGAGGGUCAUUGGAAACUGGAAAACUUGAGUGCAGAAGAGGAAAGUGGAAUUCCAUGUGUAGCGGUGAAAUGCGCAGAGAUAUGGAGGAACACCAGUGGCGAAGGCGACUUUCUGGUCUGUAACUGACGCUGAUGUGCGAAAGCGUGGGGAUCAAACA